This 795-nucleotide ribosomal RNA is filed under the name uncultured marine thaumarchaeote. RNAcentral's name for it is "bacterial SSU rRNA". It matches the Rfam family "Archaeal small subunit ribosomal RNA", at positions 83 to 879 of the family's 1478-position model. The record is from RNAcentral. Lineage: Archaea; Thermoproteati; Nitrososphaerota.
CGGCUGCUCAGUAACACGUAGUCAACUUACCCUAUGGACGAGGAUAAUCUCGGGAAACUGAGCAUAAUACUCGAUAGAUCAUAAUGCCUGGAAUGGUUUAUGGUUGAAAUGAUUCGUCGCCAUAGGAUGGGACUGCGGCCUAUCAGCUUGUUGGUGAGGUAAUGGCACACCAAGGCGAUUACAGGUACGGGCUCUGAGAGGAGAAGCCCGGAGAUGGGUACUGAGACAAGGACCCAGGCCCUAUGGGGCGCAGCAGGCGAGAAAACUUUGCAAUGUGCGAAAGCACGACAAGGUUAAUCCGAGUGAUUUCUGCUAAAGAAAUCUUUUGCAAGUCAUAAAACCACUAGUGAAUAAGGGGUGGGCAAGUUCUGGUGUCAGCCGCCGCGGUAAAACCAGCACCUCAAGUGGUCAGGAGGAUUAUUGGGCCUAAAGCAUUCGUAGCCGGCUCUGUAAGUUUUCGGUUAAAUCCAUGUGCUCAACGCAUGGGCUGCCGAAAAUACUGCAUAGCUAGGGAGUGGGAGAGGUAGACGGUACUCGGUAGGAAGGGGUAAAAUCCUUUGAUCUAUCGAUGACCACCUGUGGCGAAGGCGGUCUACCAGAACACGUUUGACGGUGAGGGAUGAAAGCUGGGGGAGCAAACCGGAUUAGAUACCCGGGUAGUCCCAGCUGUAAACGAUGCAGACUCGAUGAUGCAUUGGCAUAUAGCCAGUGCAGUGUCGCAGGGAAGCCGUUAAGUCUGCCGCCUGGGAAGUACGUACGCAAGUAUGAAACUUAAAGGAAUUGGCGGGGGAGCAG